CCUACGGGGGGCAGCAGUGGGGAAUAUUGCACAAUGGGGGAAACCCUGAUGCAGCGACGCCGCGUGAGUGAAGAAGGAUCUCGGUACGUAAAGCUCUAUCAGCAGGGGAGAAAAUGACGGUACCUGACUAAGAAGCACCGGCUAACUACGGGCCAGCAACCGCGGUAAUGCGUAGGGGGCAAGCGUUAUCCGGAUGUACUGGGUGUAAAGGGAGCGUAGACGGCAGGACAAGUCUGGAGUGAAAUCCCGGGGCUUAACCCCGGAACUGCUGUGGAAACUGUGCGGCUGGAGUGCAGGAGGGGUAAGCGGAAUUCGUAGUGUAGCGGUGAAAUGCGUAGAUAUUAGGAGGAACACCGGUGGCGAAGGCGGCUUACUGGACUGUAACUGACGUUGAGGCUCGAAAGCGUGGGGAGCAAACAGGAUUAGAUACCCGGGUAGUC
Molecule: ribosomal RNA, 440 nt
Filed under: uncultured bacterium
Lineage: Bacteria
Description: partial 16S ribosomal RNA
Rfam family: Bacterial small subunit ribosomal RNA
Source: RNAcentral